AUGGGAAUCGAACCCACAUUGUUCCGCUUACCGGGCAGAUGCCAUGUCCAUUAGGCU
RNAcentral lists this transfer RNA (57 nucleotides) under Cordylochernes scorpioides. RNAcentral's name for it is "tRNA-Thr". The record is from RNAcentral. Lineage: Eukaryota; Metazoa; Arthropoda; Arachnida; Pseudoscorpiones; Chernetidae.